RNAcentral lists this unclassified non-coding RNA (352 nucleotides) under soil metagenome. RNAcentral describes it as "partial contains 5.8S ribosomal RNA, internal transcribed spacer 2, and large subunit ribosomal RNA". The stretch from base 1 to 120 matches the Rfam family "5.8S ribosomal RNA", at positions 35 to 154 of the family's 154-position model. The record is from RNAcentral.
GAUGAAGAACGUAGCGAAAUGCGAUAAGUAAUGUGAAUUGCAGAAUUCAGUGAAUCAUCGAAUCUUUGAACGCUCAUUGCGCCCGCCAGUAUUCUGGCGGGCAUGCCUGUUCGAGCGUCAUUACAACCCUCAGGCCCCCGGGCCUGGCGUUGGGGAUCGGCGGAAGCCCCCUGUGGGCACACGCCGUCCCUCAAAUACAGUGGCGGUCCCGCCGCAGCUUCCAUUGCGUAGUAGCUAACACCUCGCAACUGGAGAGCGGCGCGGCCAUGCCGUAAAACACCCAACUUCUGAAUGUUGACCUCGAAUCAGGUAGGAAUACCCGCUGAACUUAAGCAUAUCAAUAAGCGGAGGA